UACGGGAGGCAGCAGUGGGGAAUAUUGCACAAUGGGCGAAAGCCUGAUGCAGCUAUGCCGCGUGUAUGAAGAAGGCCUUAGGGUUGUAAAGUACUUUCAUCGGGGAGGAAAAACAAAACUAAUAAUUUUAUUUCUUGACGUUACCCGAAAAAGAAGCACCGGCUAACUCCGUGCCAGCAGCCGCGGUAAUACGGAGGGUGCUAGCGUUAAUCAGAAUUACUGGGCGUAAAGAGCACGUAGGUGGUUUUUUAAAGUCAGAUGUGAAAUCCCUGGGCUUAACCUAGGAACUGCAUUUUGAAACUGAAAUACUAGAGUAUCGUAGAGGGAGGUAGAAUUCUAGGUGUAGCGGUGAAAUGCGUAGAUAUCUGGAGGAUACCUGUGGCGAAAGCGGCCUCCUAAACGAAUACUGACACUGAGGUGCGAAAGCGUGGGGAGCAAACAGGGAUUAGAUACC
RNAcentral lists this ribosomal RNA (454 nucleotides) under uncultured bacterium. RNAcentral's name for it is "bacterial SSU rRNA". It matches the Rfam family "Bacterial small subunit ribosomal RNA", at positions 340 to 786 of the family's 1533-position model. The record is from RNAcentral.